GUGCCAGCAGCCGCGGUAAUACGGAGGGGGCUAGCGUUGUUCGGAAUUACUGGGCGUAAAGCGCACGUAGGCGGAUCAGAAAGUUGGGGGUGAAAUCCCGGGGCUCAACCUCGGAACUGCCUUCAAAACUAUUGGUCUUGAGUUCGAGAGAGGUGAGUGGAAUUCCGAGUGUAGAGGUGAAAUUCGUAGAUAUUCGGAGGAACACCAGUGGCGAAGGCGGCUCACUGGCUCGAUACUGACGCUGAGGUGCGAAAGCGUGGGGAGCAAACAGGAUUAGAU
This 279-nucleotide ribosomal RNA is filed under the name uncultured Rhodobacterales bacterium. RNAcentral's name for it is "partial 16S ribosomal RNA". It matches the Rfam family "Bacterial small subunit ribosomal RNA", at positions 505 to 783 of the family's 1533-position model. The record is from RNAcentral. Lineage: Bacteria; Pseudomonadati; Pseudomonadota; Alphaproteobacteria; Rhodobacterales.